This 9913-nucleotide long non-coding RNA is filed under the name Salvia miltiorrhiza (redroot sage). RNAcentral's name for it is "long non-coding RNA (SMIL_LNC011371)". Lineage: Eukaryota; Viridiplantae; Streptophyta; Magnoliopsida; Lamiales; Lamiaceae. The record is from RNAcentral.
UAGAUUUAAGAUGAUUCACGCCGGAUAUAAAGAAAAAGAAUUUAUUUUUAAUUCCAACAAAAAUGAUUUACAAAAACAUUUGUAAAAUUAGUUAUUGAAUUUAUAUGCAUUGCAUAUUUAUUUAAUUUAGCAUUCAAGCAUUUUCACGAGCUUUUAAUUAGCAAAUCCUGAAGAAUUAUUACAGUUUCGACAAUUUUAUCAGAUAGAAUUUUAUUUGUCAAAUCAACAACCUCAAUUACCCACCUCCCUAUGAUAUCCAUCAGCCACCUACCCACUUACCCACCUCCCAUACCUGCAUUACACCUCAUUCAUCACUAUCAUACAUGCAUCACACCUCAUUCAUCACUAGGAAUUUCAAUCAUGCUUUCCACUUCAUCUCACACACUCUCUUCGUUUCCAUCACCCCAAACAAAGUUCAAGAGCAGAGCAACCAAGCAAACUCAGCAGCCAACCAUUUCAGAAAUUGAAGUGAAAUUCUAAAGGUUCAAACUUUAACUCGUCGCUUUAUUUCCCUUUUCGAUUGAGCAACCCAUUGAUAUCAUGUUAAGAUUUCCAGCCAUUCAAUUGAAUCACACGCUACUGAUUUCCCAUAUAGCAAAUUCAGUUUCGUGUAUCAAGUUUUUGAAACAAAAUGACAUUUACAUACAUGAGCAUACAAAUAUGUAUUUCUAUAUUCAUGAAACAUUCUUGUUGAAAAGAAGAAAGAAAAGUUUGAGCUUUGAUUUUGUUUCCUUGUCUGUCGAGUCUGGGCUCUGGUCGAAGGCGGUGGCUCGGCGCCACUGUCGGUCGGCUGGCGAGUUGAGGGAGAAGCUGACUGAGGCGGAUGAGAGAGUGGAGGGAAGCAGGGCACGGCGGCGGUGCCGCUGCUGUCCGGCCAAGGGCGAAAAACUGAGAGGGGAGGGAGUCAUGGUUUGUGUGUGUGAGCGUCUGUGAGUCAGGGGAGAGUCGACGGCGGCAGCCAUGGCUGCUGUCGCCGGAUGUUGCACAGAGGGAGGCCGAGGGAGGCGGCGGCGUCUACGUCGUCGCCAAGGAGGAGAGAGAACAGGGGUUGGGGCGGUGGCUGUCGUUGCAGUCGCCGAAAGAGGGGGAAGAAAGAGGGAGCUGGAACCUAUCGACGCUUGCCCCGGCGAGCUCCGACGGCGGUGAAAUUCUGAGGGAAAGAGACGAGCAGUCGUGAGGGAGAAAGAGAGAGACAAGAGAGGGGUUGAGAAGCAAGAGGGCGCCGGCGGUCGGGCGGUGGAGGUGGCGCUGCUACCGCUACCGGAAAAGAAGAGAGGGGGUGAGAAGAGGGUGUUGCAGCGCCGCUGCGUGUGUGUGUGUGUGCGUCUGAUGGGGGGUGAAGAGGGUAGUAGGUUUAAGUGUUGGGGGCUUGGGCUUGGGAGUGUUGGGGGCUUGGGCCGAUUUAUUGGGCCGACUUUAUUUUAUUUAAUGGGCCGAGUUUUGUUUAUUAAAUAAGCUGGGCCUUUGAUUAUUUUAAAUCAUGGGCUGCCCAAGUAUUUAUUUAAUAGGAUUUGUGUAGAUUUUAUUUAAAGGAGCUACACUAUUAUAAUUAAUUAGACUUAUUAAGUUUAAUUAAUUAUUUUCAAAGAGUAAAUUUUCAUAAUAAUAUCAUAUUAUUAUUAUGUGCAUAUUUUAAGUAAAUUACUUAUUAUAUGCUAAGCAUGACAUGAAAUUGCAUUAUAUUUUGCAAUAAAAAUAUUUAUGAUUUAAUUGGUUUUAUUUAUAAUUCCAAUUAUUAAAGAAAGAUGAGUAAGAAUAUUGUUGGUGUUCUUAACUCAAGAGAAAUGUUUUCAAUUAUUUAUUUAUUAAAUUUUGAAAACCCGGCUAAGUGAAUCAUAGAAUAUUAAGCACUACACCUUGACUUAAGAUUAGAUUCAGGAGACCUAUUGAGAAUAGAUUUCUUGUAGGCUUUGUGCUCAGGGGGAUUAGCGCUGCUUUCCCAAGACAGGUUUAUAUGUGUUAUGAUCUUCAGGCUUUGCCUAUCCAGGUGGGCUUACUUUCCAAAUGUACAAAGUAUGAUUGAGUUAUUAAGCUCUAAAUGUUUCAAUGAAAUGCAAAUUGUUUAUUUAAUGUAAUGAAAACUGUUUAUCCAAUAAAAUGUUUAUGUGCACUCUGCUCUGUUUAAGGCUCGCGCAGUUAAUCAAUUGAGGUUCUCUUAUGACCUAAUACGUUGUUUGAGAAUUGUGUACACUUGUUAGUUGACUCGGUGGGUUGAUCUCUAUCGGGCUCUAACCAGAGGCGUUAUAAGGGUGCUCGGCUGGAUGUGUUCCGGAGCAUGAGAAAUAUCAGGCCUGCCUGGGUAGCGUCCCGAGGUCAAAGUAAACUUGUCUGGGUUACACCCUCAGUUCAAGUCAGCGGGAGACAGAGAUCCGUCGGUGGCUAGAGGUCCGGGAUCACAGCGAGUAACAGAAAGGGAGUGUGACAUGUGCGCACAAAUGAAAAAUGUUUUAACAUGCUUAGAAGUUCUUUCAAUUUAAAACCUUCUAAGUCAUGUCAAGUAUAAUUGGAUAAACUGUCUUUAUUAAAAUAUGAAAUGUUUCAGAAAAUGCAUGCCCACUAAGUACAUUAGUACUUAGCCCAAAAAUACUUUCAAAUGUUUUCAGGUUGGCUGGCCGGUGCUGACGGGACGGAGCUGAGGCUAGCGAUAAAUUCCUAUGUUAGACUUCCGCUGUAGCAAUUACUCAUAUCAGUCUUUUGUUUUCCCAACUUAAGAUCUUCAUGUUAAAUUUCAAAUGAUAUACCUGACCGAACUUAGACUCUUCACUACUAAAUUUAUGCCAAUGAAUGCCGGUUGUCAGAAGCAUGAAAUAAAACUUGUGAUCCAAAGGGGCAUAGCCCGACUUUCUAUCCUAUUUCGGGUUUUAACAAGGUUGUUCCUUGUUUAUUUCUAUGAAUUAUUUGCACCUCGAUUAUAUUUAUUCAUUCAAGAAUUGGGGUGUGACAGAAUGGUAUCAGAGCAUGAGUUUUCUUUCAUGUUUCUGAUAACCAUAAGCUUUUGAUGUCGAGUCUAGAAUAGUAUCUCUAGACUUCUAAGAAUGUCAGUAGCCCUCAGCUCGCCGUCACACUGCCGCAACAAAGGUACGAUAAUAGUUUCAAAAAUAUACAUAUAUGUAUUUCAGAUGUUAUGAAUGUUUCCAAGAAAAAGUGUGCGCUUUCAAUGAAUGAUGCUAUGUGAAUUGCUUACCGCUUUCCAUAUGCUAUAAGUUAUGAAUUGCUAAUCGCUUUCAUAUUGUUAUUUUGGGUCUCCGACUCAUAUAACCAAGCUAAGUAUCGUGUUUGGGACAACCCGAGCCCUUAACGAUAGUGUCGUGUUUGGGACAACCCGAGCCCUUAACGAUAAGAUAAGUAAGUAUCGUGUUUGGGACUACCCGAGCCCUUAACGAUAAGAUGAGUUAAAGUCGUGUUUAGGACUAUUGAGCCUUUCACGAAUACCAGAUGUAUGGUCGAGUUAGAUUCUUUGAAUCUUUCCGGCAAUAGAAAAGUUUCAUGUGGCAUUUAAUGUCAACAUGUUUCAAGUUUCAAAGAGAAUGAACGAAUGAGAAAGCUUUAUGUUGUCGUUUUAGGCUAGCUGCCUAUACGAUUAGAAUGGUGGAUCCUCUUACAAACUGUUUGAGUACCACCCAAGAAUGCUUUGAGAAUGUUAAUCGUGAUAGCACCGCUUGAUCGAUUUAAGUAAAGACUGGUAAGAUAGAAAUGUUUAACAUAGAGAUGUUACAACAUAGAGGCAAUGCCUUAAGACUAAGGAUUCACUUGAGCUAUUUCAAUAGCGGUGAGAUUAAGUUUUUCACAUAAGAACUUAUGUUGCUUAUGAUUAUGAUGUUAGUCGUGAUAGCUUUGCUAGAACGGCAUAGAAUGGACUUUCAUGGUAUCAGUGACUUAUGAUGAAGUACUUGUUAGUAAGUGUUUUAAGUUAGAAGUUUGACCAGAGCCUUACAUGAAUAAGAAGUUGACAUGAUUGGGGGCGAAGCUCCCAUUUGACUGAGUGAUUCGUUUUGUUGGGUCUGGCCAGCCCACAUGACUAAGAUCUCGGUGAUUGUCAAUUAAGAUUUUUGAUCUCGAGGUAGAGCAUCAUCACAAUAUAUAGACUCGCACUAUAUAGUUGUCACAAUAGAAUAUCCUUUUAUCACGAUAAGUAUAGUAGCGAUUAGAAUUACUCAGUUUGUCAUUAGUUUUCAACCAUUAGAACGAUGCACUAAGUAUCAAGUUGUCUUUUGGUAAUCAAAGCGAUUUUUGGAAUCCCAAGCGAAGAACUGGAGCAGGUAGUGAGUAUGAUGAAGUUUUCAACCAGCUGUCAAUAUGUGGUCCACAUGGUGGACAAUAAUGAGAAAUGCGUAAAGGAGUUCGUAAAUGAAUCGCGUCAUGAGAUUUUCAAUUCCCCUAGUAAACCAGGGAGAUAUUAUGAAGGAACAAGCAAUGAACGAGACUCUCACCACCGAGUCACUACAACAAUUGGAGAAGGAAAAAGUUCACGCACAAACAAGAUAUGUACACCACCUCAAGAUGGAGGUAAAGAAAAAGGAAAUGGAAUGAAAGAAAUAGAGGAAACCCUUAAAUGGAAGGAAAGCACUAGAACUAAACUUAAGGUAUAACCCAACCCCAAGGCUAGUAGGCUCAAGCUAAGAGAGUGAAUGCUUUGGCUAAAGUGCCAGAAGCUACAGCAAGAAUAAAGUUGGAACGCCACCACAAUGGAAACUUAGAAACCCCCAUUAAAUAACCAUUUGGAAAUGGGAAAAUGAGUUUACAUGGCAGAAGGAGUGCCAUUAAUCCUCGAAGUGAAAGUUACGAAGACGAUGAGAAAAGUUUGAUGUUAGAAUUCCCUGGUCAAUCUGAGAAGGUGACUUAGGACGAAGGAAACAAUUAAGGAAGUUCAACAGAUUUGAGAGUACAAAGAUAUUUUUCCCAAUGAAUUACCAAAUUUUCACCAGACCUAGUUUCAUGCAACAUAGUAUGUCACUAUGGGGAGCACUAAUUCAAGAUGUCAAAGAAAAGAUGAUACACUAAGGAUGUGUAUUGAUUAUAAGAAGUUGAAGCAAGCUCAUAAGAAUAGAUAUCCUCUUCCGAGGAUAGACGACCUGUUAAAUCAGUUGAGAGGAGCCGGUGUGUUUUCCAAGAUUGACCUAAGAUCUGGUUACCACCAACUCAGGAUGAAAAGAGAAGACAUUCCAAAGACAGCGUUUCGAACGCGUUAUGGACUUUACGAGUUCACAGUGAUGCCCUUCGAUUUAACGAAUGCCCCAGCAGUUUUCAUGGACCUAAUGAAUAGAGUUUUCCAUCAGUAUCUCGAUAGUUUUGUCUUAGUGUUUAUCGACGACAUCCUCGUAUACUCUAAGACCGAAGAACAACAUGAAGAGCACUUACGCAUCGUACUCAAAACCCUGCGCAAUGAGAAAUGGUUUACCAAAUUCAACAAGUGUGAAUUUUGGUUAAAGGAAGUUAUGUUUCUCGGUCACAUAGUGUCGACUGAAGGAAUCAAAGUAGACCCCGCCAAGGUCGAAGCAGUCAAGGAAUGGAAGGCACCAUCAAAUGUCAAUAAGAUCAGAAGUUUUCUCGGUCUAGCAGGUUACAACAUAAGGUUCAUCGAAAGAUUCUCGAAAUUGGCUAGGCCAAUGACUCGACUUUUAAGAAAAGGGACUAAGUAUGUUUGGUCCGAAGCUUGUAAACAAAGUUUUAAGUAGCUCAAGACUAGGUUGACUACUGCACCAGUGUUACCAAUACCAGGGGAAAAUGAAGAAUUUGAGGUGUACACUGAUGCCUCGAAACUAGGAUUGGGUUACGUGUUGAUGCAAAAUCAGAAAGUGAUAGCAUACACGUCUCGUCAAUUGAAGCCCCAUGAGCUGAACUACCCAACUCAUGAUUUAGAACUAGCAGCCGUUGUGCACGCGCUGAAGAUUUGGAGACACUACCUCUAUGGAGUUAAGUGUAAGAUCUUUACAGAUCAUAAGAGUUUAAAGUACUUUUUCGAGCAAAAAGGAUUUAAACAUGAGACAACGAAGAUUGCUCGAAUUAGUAAAGGAUUACGAUUGCACCAUCAGUUACCAUCCAGGAAAAGCGAAUGUAGUAGCUGACGCCCUAGUCGAAAGACGAAGGCUAAGCUAGGGUAUUUCAUUACCCAACAAAGGAGCUGAUUCGUGAGUUCCCUCACUCAUUUAGAGAUUGUUUAUUCCCCAGAUUCAGUAUCGGGUUAUGUAGCUGCACUGACAGCUAAACCUGAUUUGAGAGAAAGAAUUGUGCAAAGCACAAAGAGAAGAUUGGUUCUUGGAGAAGAUGCGUCUCGCGGCAAGAACGAAUGAAACGAAAGAUUCACUGAAGCAAAUGAUAACGCACUGAUGGUUGGUGAAAGAUUGUGUGUGCCACACAAAGAAGAAUUAAAGAACGAGAUUAUGAGCAAGCUCAUGAUACUCCUUACACUGCACAUCAGGCAGUACAAAGAUGCACCAGGAUUUAAAGAAAAUUUUCUGGUGGAAAUAAAUGAAAAGAGAUAUAGCGUCAUCGUGGACCGAUUAUCAAAGUCAGCGCACUUUCUACCAAUUCAAAUGACAUUUGGAUUGGAGAAACUUGCAAAGUUAUAUGUCAAAGAGAUAGUACACCUUCACGGUGUACCUGUAUCUAUCACGUCAGAUCGUGACACCAGAUUCACAUCGCGUUUCUGGAAAAGUUUACAAGAAGCCAUGGGCACUCAGCUGAACUUCAGCACAGCGUACCACCCUCAGACUGACGGGCAGUCAGAAAGAACGAUUCAGAUUCUAAAAUUUUCGUUGCGAACAAUUAUCGCAGACAAAGGUAGAAGUUAGGAGGAUUUGUUACCUCUCGUAGAAUUUGCUUAUAACAAUAGUUAUCAAGCAACAUUUGGAAUAAUCCAGAUGAGGCCUUGUAUGGCCGAAAAUGUAGUUCACCACUUUACUAAGAUGAAAUGGGUGAAAGAAAGCUGUUAGAUCCUGAACUGGCCAACAGAUGGUUGAGAAGGUCGACCACAUCAAGCAAAGAAUCAAAGAAGCUCGAGAUAGACAAAAGUCUUACGCCAUAAAUGCCGAUCGGAGUUAGAAUUCAAUGUUGGGGAUCAAGUUUUCCUCAAAGUUUCUCCCUCAAAGGGAGUUAUACGUUUCAGAAAGAGGGGCAAGUUACGACCCCGUUAUAUAGGAUUUUUUUUAGAUCCUAGAUAAGAUAGGCCCUGUAGCCUAUAGGUUGGCAUUGCCACCCAGUAUUGGAGAUGUGCACAAUGUGUUUCAUGUCUCUCAGUUAAGAAAGUAUGUGUUUAAUCCAAAGCAUUUGAUUAAGCAAGAUAAAGGAGUCCUAGCCAGGACCUAAGUUAUGAAGAGAAAUCAGUCCAGAAACUUGAUCGCAAGGUUCAAGUUUUACGAGGCAAUAAUAUUGUUCUCGUCAUGUAGUGGAACCAUCACAGGAUGGAAAAGGCCACGAAAGAGAUGAAUAAAAUGAAAGACUAGUAUCCCCGUUUCCUCGAGCUAAAUUUAGAAUUUAUUUUAAACUUAGAUUUAAGAUGAUUCACGCCGGAUUGAGAAAAAGAGUUUAUUUUAAUUCCAACAAAAGUGUUUAAAAAAAAACAUUUAUAAAUUUAGUUAUUAAAUUUAUGUGCGUCGCAUAUUUAUUUAAUUUAGCAUUCAAGCAUUUUCAUGAACUAUUUAUUUAAGCAAACACUGAACGAUUAUUACAGUUUUCAUAUUAUAACCCGGAAGAUUUAUUUUAUUUUAUUUUAUUUUAUUUUACACACCCACCUACUCCUUUCUUUUUGAAAAGUCAACAUCACCACCCACUUCCACCACCAACAUCACCAUCAAUCCUUUGCACUAUACCUAUUACAGCACACUCCAUGCUUCUACAAAUUCAUUGACAUACUAUAGUCAUUCUCAUCCAUUUCAUCACAAUCCCUCACGCAAUUCAUCAUCUUUCACUCUCACAAGAAACACUAAGACAAAGGUAAGAAUUGCAAUCAAAAUUCAUUACCUUCUUACAAAGCAAGCUCUCCACUUCAAUGACUAAGCUAUUUGGGAAUCAAUUUCAGCGGCCAAACAAAUUCAAGCAAACCGACCCAACCGAAAUCUUUCUAAAAGGUUUUACUUCUAAAUCCUCAUGCCAAUUCCUUGAGUUUUAAUUGAGUCAUAAGCGAAGAAAAAAAAAAGAAAGAACACGCAUACAUUCAUAGCACCAUUUCAACACAUAUAAUUGUAUAUGCAAAUGAAUAGAGUUUAUAUAUUUUACAUGAACAGAGUAUGAAAUAUUUGAAGAAAGAACUUUUGCUUGAGCUUUGAUCUUCCCUUGUUUUCAAUUCUGCUGUGUCGAGUCUGUGGGUAUCGAGUUGGGUCAGAGGUUGUUGGCAGAGAGAGUCGAGAGAUGGAGGGAGGCAGGGCACGGCGGCGACCUGCCGCUGCUGUCCGGCCAAGGACGGAAGAUGGGGAGGGAGUCAUGGUCUGUGUGGGUGAGCGUCGAACUUGUGUAUGAGUUGAGGGAAGACUGAGAUGUGGUCGGCGGCGGUGGUUCUUCGGCUGCUGUUGCCGGAAGGCCGAGAGAGAGAACGCGAGGGAGGUCGGCGGCGGUUCAUCACUGCUGUCCGUUCGGCGCGUAGAGAGAAAGGUGGAGCGGCGGCUCGUCGCUGCUGCAGUCGCCGGAGGAGAGGAGAAUAGACGGAGGUUAGGGUUCUCGGUCAGUCGAGGGAGAUGGUGAGGAUGACCGGAGAUGGUGCUCUUCGCCGGAUAUGGCCGUUGCCGAAUGAGAAGAAAGAGUGAGAGAAGGAGGGAGGCAGCGGCGGCAUCUUCGCCGCAGCCGAGGAAGGAAGCGGCGCACGGGGUACCGUCGGGUUGAGUCACAGAACCGAGGGAGAGGUGGCCGGAGUUCGGAGAGGGAGAAGGGACGGCUGUUGCCGGAAGGCAGAGAGAGAGAGAGGAAACGAUUUGGUGAAGAGAGGGAGAGAGUGAGAUGUUGGAGGCGCAGCGGAGAAAAGAAGAAAUAGGUUUGGGCUUGAGGGAAUUGGGCCAAGUCAUGGUCUGGGCCGAUUUUUAUUAAAAUGAGCUGGGCUGUUGAGCCGAAAUUCUUAUUUUAUUUAACAGUUGGGCUUUAGGUUUGGGCUAGGAUGGAGUUGGUUGUGGGCCGAUUUUCUUUGUUUAAUUUUUCAGUUGGGCCUUUAUUUUAUUAAAAUAGAUGGGCCUUAUUUAAAUACCAUAUGAGUCAGUUUUAUUUUAAACUUUGGGCUGCCUUGAUUAAUUAAAUUAAUUGGGCUGCCCUAUUUUAUUAAUUAUUUUUAAAGACUAGUUUUCAUAAUAAUAUUAAAUUAUUAUUAUGUGCAUAUUUUAAGUAAAUUACUUAUUAUAUGCUAAGCAUGACAUGAAAUUGCAUUUAUUUUGCAAUAAAAGUAUUUAAUUGGUUUUAAUUAUAAAUCCAAUUAUUAAAAAAGACGAGUAAGAAUAUUGUUGGUGUUCUUAACUCAAGAGAAAUGUUUUCAAUUAUUUAUUCAUUAAAUUUUGAAAACCCGGCUAAGUGAAUCAUAAAAUAAUAAGCACUACACCACGACUUAAGAUUAGAUUCACGAGACCUAUUAAGAAUAGAUUUCUUGUAGGCUUUGUGACCAGGGGGAUUAGCGCUGCUUUCCCAAGACAGGUUUUUAUGUGUAUGAUCUUCAGGCUUUGCCUAUCCAGGUGGCUUACUUUCCAAAUGUACAAAGUAUGAUUGAGUUAUUAAGCUCUAAAUGUUUCAAUGAAAUGCAAAUUGUUUAUUUAAUGUAAUGAAAACUGUUUAUCCAAUAAAAUGUUUAUGUGCACUCUGCUCUGUUUAAGGCUCGCACAGUUAAUCAAUUGAGGUUCUCUUAUGACCUAAUACGUUGUUUGAGAAUUGUGUACACUUGUUAGUUGACUCGGUGGGUUGAUCUCCAUCGGGCUCUAACCAGAGGCGUUAUAAGGGUGCUCGG